GAUGAACGCUGACAGAAUGCUUAACACAUGCAAGUCAACUUGAACUUCGGUUUGGGUGGCGGACGGGUGAGUAACGCGUAAAGAACUUGCCUCACAGAUAGGGACAACAUUUGGAAACGAAUGCUAAUACCUGAUAUUAUGAUUUUAGGGCAUCCUAGGAUUAUGACAGCUAUAUGCGCUGUGAGAGAGCGUUGCGUCCCAUUAGCUAGUUGGAGAGGUAACGGCUCACCAAGGCGAUGAUGGGUAGCCGGCCUGAGAGGGUGAUCGGCCACAAGGGGACUGAGACACGGCCCUUACUCCUACGGGAGGCAGCAGUGGGGAAUAUUGGACAAUGGACCAAGAGUCUGAUCCAGCAAUUCUGUGUGCACGAUGAAGUUUUUCGGAAUGUAAAGUGCUUUCAGUUGGGAAGAAAAAAAUGACGGUACCAACAGAAGAAGUGACGGCUAAAUACGUG
This 454-nucleotide ribosomal RNA is filed under the name uncultured bacterium. Its description in RNAcentral is "partial 16S ribosomal RNA". It matches the Rfam family "Bacterial small subunit ribosomal RNA", at positions 28 to 507 of the family's 1533-position model. The record is from RNAcentral.